GACGAACGCUGGCGGCGUGCUUAACACAUGCAAGUCGAACGGAAAGGCCCUGCUUUUGUGGGGUGCUCGAGUGGCGAACGGGUGAGUAACACGUGAGUAACCUGCCCUUGACUUUGGGAUAACUUCAGGAAACUGGGGCUAAUACCGGAUAGGAGCUCCUGCUGCAUGGUGGGGGUUGGAAAGUUUCGGCGGUUGGGGAUGGACUCGCGGCUUAUCAGCUUGUUGGUGGGGUAGUGGCUUACCAAGGCUUUGACGGGUAGCCGGCCUGAGAGGGUGACCGGCCACAUGGGGACUGAGAUACGGCCCAGACUCCUACGGGAGGCAGCAGUGGGGAAUAUUGCACAAUGGGCGGAAGCCUGAUGCAGCAACGCCGCGUGCGGGAUGACGGCCUUCUGGUUGUAAACCGCUUUCGCCUGUGACGAAGCGUGAGUGACGGUAAUGUGUAAAGAAGCACCGGCUAACUACGUG
Molecule: ribosomal RNA, 468 nt
Filed under: uncultured bacterium
Lineage: Bacteria
Description: partial 16S ribosomal RNA
Rfam family: Bacterial small subunit ribosomal RNA
Source: RNAcentral